CUUUUUAUGAGAAUUUGGGGUCUGCAUCCCACUGCUCUCCUGCUCCCUCAGGGGUUCUCUGUUGUGUUCCCUGUCACGGCAGUCAUGGGUAGUAGCCAGGCACCAUCUAGUUCUUCUGGUCUCAGGCUGAUGUAGUCUCUGGUUCAUGUGGCCCUUUCUGUCUCUUGGGCUCGUAAUAACCUUGUGUCCUUGGUGUUCUUCCCUCUCCUUUGAUCCAGGUGUGUUGAGACUCAUUGAUGCAUCUUAGAUAGCCGCUUGCUAGUGUUUAAGACCCCAGAGGCCACUCUCCAAAGUGGGAUGCAGAAUGUUUGAAAGGCGUGUUUUUAAUAUGUUUGUUUUUGCUGAGCUGCUCUGAGGUUGUGGCUUUCAGUUUCCUUUUCCGGUUCGCCAGUAUGUAUGGAAGCAGAGAGAAUGUGCCUGGUGAUUGCACCAGCACUCGGGCCCUCAGGCUAGCGUUCGGGCCUACACACCCAGGAACAGCCGGAUCUUACUUUUGGCAAGGGGACGAUUCCUUGGUGCUGUCGAGUUGGUUCUGACUCAUAGCGACGCUAUGCACAACAGAAUGAAACACUGCCCGGUCCUGCGCCAUCCUUACAAUGGUUGUUAUGCUUGAGCUCAUUGUUGCAGCCACUGUGUCAAUCCCCCCCGUCAAGGAUCUUCCUCUUUUCUGCUGACCCUGUACUCUGCCAAGCAUGAUGUCCUUCUCCAGGGACUGAUCCCUUCUGACAACAUGUCCAAAUGGUGAAGGAUGGCUCAGAUGGAUUACAAAGUUCCCUUGGGCUCAGCAAGAGUUCCCACCUGCCUGAUACCUGGCCAGGUGACCCCAGAUGGAAGGUAGGUGGUGACGUGUCUGACCUUUUUGGGAACUUUGGAGGAAGCAGAGAAGGUGGAGAAGGUGUGGUGAGCCAAGCCCUGAGGAUGCCCCCAGUGUGCUGCUGCUGAGGCCUGAUGGGGCAAAGGACUUCAUUGGAAGUACAAGGAGUCCAGAGGUUGUACCACCUAUCCUAUCGGAGAACCUGCUCUGUGAAUGGCUCUUUGGGGGAAACUGAGGCCCUGAGAGGGUAGUGACUGGGCCAGAGUUCCUUGCCCACAUGAUGAGAGGCGGCGCAGGGAGAUGGCAGGACUCCAGACCCUGCACUCCACUGGCUUCCUAUUCAGGACUGCAGGAUGAUGGGAGAAGAGAGAGGAAGCCCGGUGUCUCCGGAAGCAAAAGAUGGUCCAGACAUAAGAAGUGAGGGGGUCAUGUUGUGGAAUGGUAUCCCCAGCACCAUCCUGGCUUUGUGAUCUUUCAAUAAAAAGACAAAACUGCAUGUGUGUGAGUAUAUAACCUUUGGAAUGUGUGCUUAGAUUUGUGUGUUUGUAGAAGCAGAGUCAAACCCGGAAGGCACAGUCUAAGCUGUUAUCAGAGGUAAUGGUGUCUGUGGGGAUAGAAUAGGCCUUCACUUUCAUCUUUAGAAAUUUUGUCUUAAAUCUUAGAGUCAGAAGGCCUGGUGGGGGCCUCCACUCAGUCCACUGAGAGCUGUGCGAGCCUGGGUAAAUCACUUUCCCUCUCUGGGCCUCAGUUUCUUCACCUGAUAAAUGAGGUUAGAGUUCUCUGCUCUGUUGACCCUGUAGCAGAUUUCUGGUAAUGCCUGGGCAGUGGGAGUGAGGGGGAAGUAGAGGUCAUGGUGGACUGGGGUGAACUGGAAGCACCCUCAGAUCCAGGUGAGGGUUGCUGGGUGAAGUGUGGGCCUAAUUUACCAGAUCUCUCAUUUUAAGAGAGUCUCAGAAUUAUAGAUUAUUUGGUAUAAAAGUUUCUAAGUUUUAAAUAUUGACACCGAAUAAAAAAAUUUAAACAUUGCAUAGGGCUCCCUUGUCUUCCCCUCCUUCUGCCCACCUUCCUCCCUUGCUCUUCUCCUCCCACCCACGACCCACUGGAGAGGCCUAACUCUGUGAAGUCUUGUAUUUUCACUUCCCUGUUACAGGCUAUUCCCAGUGUCCACAUGCCCUAGAGCUGAUAGUGACUUAGGGCAACCCCACGUGUAUCACUGUAGAACUGGACUCCAUAGGGUUUUCCAUGGCUGAUUUUUCAUUUGUAGAGUAACAGGUCUUUCUUAUGAGGGACCUCUGUGUUGACUUGAACCUCCAACCUUUUCGGUUAGCAGCUGAGGUUUUAACCAUUUGCACCACCCGGGGACUCCUACAGGCUACUAAGGGUAUCUUAUUAUAUGCAGCUUCUUUUUCCUCCUCAUUCUUUUUAAUGUCUCAGAGUAUUCCCUAGUAUGAAUGGACCCUAAUGUACCUAUCUGUUGCCUGUUGCCGUGUGUCUUCUAGCCAAUUUCGACUCACAGUGGCUCUAUAUGACAGAGUGGAACUACCCCAUAGGGUUUCCUAGGUGGUAAUCUUUAGGGAAACAGGCUGCCGCAUCUUUCUGCUGUGGAGCGGCUGGUGGGUUUGAACCACUGACUUUUGGCUCAGCCACCCAGUGCACAAGCAUUGUACCACCAGCGUUCCUCAUCUACUCCCUUAGGAAUGGGCACUUACUUAUUUCUCUCAGUUUUGGUGCUAAAUACAAUGCUGCACUAAACAUCCUAGAAUCCAUGUGCUGGCACCGGUAGGCUAUGGUCUCUGUAGCUUAGAGACCUAGGAGUGGGUUGCUGGAGCAGAGAAUAGGCAGGUGUUAGGAUAUUGGACCAUUGCCAGGUUGUCCUCCAAAACUCUGAAACAUUUUACACUUCUGUUUACAAGUAAUGAGGGAGUGCACACACACCCUCGCCGGUUGGACAUCACGCAUCUUUUUGUUGUUGCCGUUGUUAGCCGGUUCUGACUCAUGGCGAUCCUAUACACAACAGAACGAAACACUGCCAGGUCCUGAGCCAUCCUCAUAAUUGUUGCUAUUCUUGAGCCCAUUGCUGCAGCCGCUGGUCAAUCCACCUGGUUGAGGGUCUUCCUCUUUUCCGCAGACUCUCUAUUUUACCAAGCGUGAUGUCCUAUUCCAGGGACUGCUGCCUCCAGAUAACAUGUUCAAAGUAUGUGAGACAUAGUCUCCCCAUCCUUGCUUCUAAGGAGCAUUCUGGUUGCACUUCUUCCAAGACAGGUUUAUUCAUUCUUUUGGCAGUCCGUGGUAUAUUCAAUAUUCUUCGCCAACACCAGAGUUCAAAGGUGUCAAACUUCUUCUCUCUUCCUUAUUCAUUGUCCAGUUUUCCCAGGCAUAAGAAGAGAUUGAAAACACUAAAGCUUGGGUCAGGCCCACCUUAGUCCUCAAGGUGAUAUCUUUGCUUUUCAACACUUUAAGAGGUCUUUUGCAGCCCAUUUGCCCAGUGCAAUGAGCCUUUUGAUUUCUUGACUGCUGCUUCCAUGGCUGAUGAUUGUGGAUACAAAUAAAAUGAAUUCCUUGACAAGCUCAAUCUUUUUUCAUCUAUCAGGGCGUUAUUUAUUGGUCCAGUUGUGAGGAUUUUUGUUUUCUUUAUGUUGAGGUGUAAUCCAUGCUGAAGACUGUGGUCUUUGAUUAUCAACAGUAAGAGCUUCAAGUCCUCUUCACUUUCAGCAAACAAGGUUGUGUCAUCUGCCUAACGCAGGUUGUUAAUGAGUUUUCCUCCAAUCCUGAUGCCCUGUUCUUCUUCAUAUAGUCCAACUUCUUGGACUAUUCACUCAGUAUACAGAUUGAAUAGGUGUGGUGAAAGGAAUCAACCCUGAUGCACACCUUUCCUGACUUUAAACUGUGCAGUUUCCCCUUGUUCUAUUCGAAUGACUGCCUCCUGAUCCAUGUACAGAUUCCUCAUGAACACAAUUAAGUGUUCUGGAAUUCCCAUUCUUCACAAUCUUAUCCAUAAUUUGUUAUAAUCCACACAGUCUGAUGCCUUCGCAUAGUCAAUAAAACGCAGGUAAACAUUUUUCUGGUAGUCUCUGCUUUCAGCCAGGAUCCAUCUGACAUCAGCAAUGAUAUCCCUGGUUCCACAUCCUCUUCUAAAUCUGUCUUGAAUUUCUGGCAGUUCCCUGUCCAUAUACUGCUGCAGCCAUUUUUGAAUGAUCUUCAGCAAAAUUUUACUUGUGAGUGAUAUUAAUGAUAUUGUUCAAUAAUUUCUGAAUUAGAUUGCUCACCUUCCUUGGGAAUAGACAUAAAUAUGGAUCUCUUCCAGUCGGUCGGCCCGG
Loxodonta africana (African savanna elephant) is the source of this 4131-nucleotide long non-coding RNA. RefSeq lists it as uncharacterized. NCBI's taxonomy places the organism in Eukaryota, Metazoa, Chordata, Mammalia, Proboscidea, Elephantidae. The record is from RefSeq and is a predicted model, not a curated record. The transcript has 3 exons.